GUUGGAUUGAUCGAUCAUUGAGUUGGUAGCUCUGGUCCAAUCAAUAAUUUUAAAUCGAGUAGACCGAGCCUUGGGCCGAAAUGAGAGUUGAUGCCUAUAGAUUCAAAUGCCAUCCUCUUGCCUAGAUUGUCAAGGGGUUGUAUCAUCCAAACUAAUGUUCAGUAUUAUAUUAGGUUAUGAUUAUCUAUGCUUGUAGAUUGCAACUCUCCUUGUUCAUCUCAUCAUCCUCCUA
This 232-nucleotide long non-coding RNA is filed under the name Elaeis guineensis (African oil palm). Its description in RNAcentral is "long non-coding RNA (EGUI_LNC027324)". The record is from RNAcentral. Lineage: Eukaryota; Viridiplantae; Streptophyta; Magnoliopsida; Arecales; Arecaceae.